This is a long non-coding RNA of Girardinichthys multiradiatus, 245 nucleotides long. RefSeq lists it as uncharacterized. The record is from RefSeq and is a predicted model, not a curated record. The transcript is spliced from 3 exons. Lineage: Eukaryota; Metazoa; Chordata; Actinopteri; Cyprinodontiformes; Goodeidae.
UAUUCUGAACUCAGUUUGUCAGUUAAAUAUCGUUCUUCAUCUGAAAGGUUUUCAUGCUGCUCACAAAAUGAGGCCCAUGAUGUAGAGGAAGGAGGCGGGAUCAGCUCGGUGUGAUCAUCUGAGCUGAAGAACGGUCAGAUCCCUCUGAGCUACAAUGAGAGGCGCAUCUCUACGACGUCUGUUCUUUCUGAUCUUCUUGCUGUGCUUAACAACAGUUAAAGUCCUCCCAGCUGGUCUGACUGUGA